GAAGCUGGAUUCGCUAGUAAUCGCGCAUCAGCCACGGCGCGGUGAAUACGUUCCCGGGCCUUGUACACACCGCCCGUCAAGCCAUGGAAGCCGGGAGUGCCUGAAGUGCGUGAGCGCAAGCAGCGCCCUAAGGUAAAACCGGUGACUGGGGCUAAGUCGUAACAAGGUAGC
Molecule: ribosomal RNA, 171 nt
Filed under: uncultured bacterium
Lineage: Bacteria
Description: partial 16S ribosomal RNA
Rfam family: Bacterial small subunit ribosomal RNA
Source: RNAcentral